GCGUUAUCCGGAAUUAUUGGGCGUAAAGAGCUCGUAGGCGGUUUGUCGCGUCUGCUGUGAAAACUGGGGGCUCAACCCCCAGCCUGCAGUGGGUACGGGCAGACUAGAGUGCGGUAGGGGAGAUUGGAAUUCCUGGUGUAGCGGUGGAAUGCGCAGAUAUCAGGAGGAACACCAAUGGCGAAGGCAGAUCUCUGGGCCGUAACUGACGCUGAGGAGCGAAAGCAUG
This 226-nucleotide ribosomal RNA is filed under the name uncultured bacterium. Its description in RNAcentral is "partial 16S ribosomal RNA". It matches the Rfam family "Bacterial small subunit ribosomal RNA", at positions 538 to 763 of the family's 1533-position model. The record is from RNAcentral.